UGACAGUACUCCUACGGGGAGGCAGCAGUGGGGGAAUAGUUGCACAAUGGGCGCAAGCCUGAUGCAGCCAUGCCGCGUGUGUGAAGAAGGCCUUCGGGUUGUUAAAGCACUUUCAGUCGUGAGGAAGGUAGUGUAGUUAAUAGCUGCAUUAUUUGACGUUAGCGACAGAAGAAGCACCGGCUAACUCCGUGCCAGCAGCCGCGGUAAUACGGAGGGUGCGAGCGUUAAUCGGAAUUACUGGGCGUAAAGCGCAUGCAGGUGGUUUGUUAAGUUCAGAUGUGAAAGCCCGGGGCGUCAACCUCGGAAUAGCAUUUGAAACUAGGCAGACUAGAGUACUGUAGAGGGGGGUAGGAAUUUCAGGUGUAGCGGUGAAAUGCGUAGAGAUCUGAAGGAAUACCGGUGGCGAAGGCGGCCCCCUGGACAGAUACUGACACUCAGAUGCGAAAGCGUGGGGAGCAAACAGGAUUAGAUACCCUGGUAG
RNAcentral lists this ribosomal RNA (481 nucleotides) under uncultured bacterium. RNAcentral's name for it is "bacterial SSU rRNA". It matches the Rfam family "Bacterial small subunit ribosomal RNA", at positions 328 to 793 of the family's 1533-position model. The record is from RNAcentral.